CCUANGGGAGGCUGCAGUGGGGAAUAUUGCGCAAUGGGCGAAAGCCUGACGCAGCAACGCCGCGUGGGUGAUGAAGGCCUUCGGGUCGUAAAGCCCUGUCGGAGGGAAAGAAAGGCGGAGGGAAUAAUACCCCCGAGCUCUGACGGUACCCUUAGAGGAAGCACCGGCUAACUCCGUGCCAGCAGCCGCGGUAAGACGGAGGGUGCAAGCGUUGUUCGGAAUUACUGGGCGUAAAGCGCGCGUAGGUGGCGCGUCAAGUCGGGUGUGAAAUCCCUUGGCUUAACCAAGGAACUACACUCGAUACUGGCGAGCUCGAGUCCCGGAGAGGGAGAUAGAAUUCCCGGUGUAGAGGUGAAAUUCGUAGAUAUCGGGAGGAAUACCAGUGGCGAAGGCGGUCUCCUGGACGGUGACUGACACUAAGGCGCGAAAGCGUGGGGAGCAAACAGGAUUAGAUACCCUUNUANUC
RNAcentral lists this ribosomal RNA (466 nucleotides) under uncultured bacterium. RNAcentral describes it as "bacterial SSU rRNA". It matches the Rfam family "Bacterial small subunit ribosomal RNA", at positions 338 to 795 of the family's 1533-position model. The record is from RNAcentral.